CACGAAUUUCAGGAAAGCUAUUUCAGUCAACCAAAGGCUUGCAGUUACUCUUCGUUUCCUGGCAACAGGAGAUUCAUUUCAGAGCCUUGCGUAUUUAUUUCGCAUUUCGAAACAAGCAAUAUCUAAAAUAGUACCCGAAGUAUGUGGAGCUCUGGUGGAAGUACUGAAGGAUUAUGUAAAGAUACCUGCGACUGAAAACGACUGGAGUGAAACAGCAUGUUUAUUCUCACAGAUUCUUCAGUUCCCCCAUUGUGACGGAGCAAUUGACCGGAAACAUAUCGUGCUACAGUGCCCUGUUGGUAGUGGAAGUGAAUAUUAUAAUUAUAAAGGUUCAUUCAGCAUUGUGCUGCUUGCUGUCGUCGAUGCCAGCUACAACUUUUUGUACGCAGAUAUCGGCUGCCAAGGCAGAAUGUCAGAUGGUGGUGUGUUCAAAAACGCGAGCAUAAAUGAGUUAAUUAACAAAAAGAAACUUAAACUUGCCACAUGCCGAAUGCUUACCAGGUGGCACCAAGGCCCUACCAUAUGUUUUUGUAGCAGACGAUGCUUUUCCCUUACAGGAAAACAUUAUGAAACCCUACCCGGGAAAACAUGUUAAAGGUUCAAAAGAGAGAGUUUUUAAUUACAGACUUUCAAGGGCCAGAAUGGUUGUUGAGAACACUUUCGGCAUUAUGGCUUCAGUUUUUCGUGUGUUUAGAAAACCUAUGUUGCUACAACCGGAAAAGGCAAAAACUGUCACACUUACAGCUGUAUGUCUCCACAAUUUUUUAAGGCGAAAUGCUGCGGCAAGGAACCAGUACACCCCACAUGGAAGCUUCGAUUCCUACGAUUUACAAACAGGUGAAAUGAUUCCAGGCACAUGGAGACGAGAUGACACUGCAUCAGUUUUCAUUUCAGCACAGAACAUACCAAGGAAAGCUGCUACCACGAAUAAACAAAUUCGAGACGAAUUUGCUAAUUUUUUUUAAGCCCACAAGGAAGUGUACCGUGGCAAAAUAACUAUGGGUGAAUGUGACUGUGUACUAUAAAAUACAAA
Molecule: long non-coding RNA, 1033 nt
Organism: Schistocerca americana (American grasshopper)
Lineage: Eukaryota; Metazoa; Arthropoda; Insecta; Orthoptera; Acrididae
Exons: 2
Source: RefSeq, a predicted model, not a curated record